This 497-nucleotide ribosomal RNA is filed under the name uncultured bacterium. RNAcentral's name for it is "partial 16S ribosomal RNA". It matches the Rfam family "Bacterial small subunit ribosomal RNA", at positions 28 to 507 of the family's 1533-position model. The record is from RNAcentral.
GAUGAACGCUGGCGGCGUGCCUAAUACAUGCAAGUCGAGCGAACAGACGAGGAGCUUGCCGCUCUGACGUUUGCGGCGUACGGAAGUGUAACACGUGCAUAACCUACCUAUAAGACUGGGAUAAUUUCGCGAAACCGGAUCUAAUUCCGGCUAAUAUAUUUAAUCGCAUGUAUCUAUAGUGAAAGACGGCUUUGCUUUCCCUUAUAUAUGGAUCCGGGCCGCAUUAGCUAGUUGGUAAGGUACCUGCUUACCAAGGGAACGAUGCGUAGCAGACAUGAGAGGGUGAGCGGCCACACUGGAACUGAGACACGGUCCAGACUGCUAGGGGAGGCAGCAUUAGGGAUUCGUCGGGCAUGGGCGGAGGACUGACGGAGCAGCGCCGAGAGAGUGAUGAAGGUAUUCGGAUCGUACGACUCUGUUAUUAGGAAAGAAAAAAGGUGUAAGUAACGAUGAAAAUCAUGACGGUACCAAAAGAGGAAGCCACGGCUAACUACGUG